This 460-nucleotide ribosomal RNA is filed under the name uncultured bacterium. RNAcentral describes it as "partial 16S ribosomal RNA". It matches the Rfam family "Bacterial small subunit ribosomal RNA", at positions 338 to 795 of the family's 1533-position model. The record is from RNAcentral.
CCUACGGGUGGCAGCAGUGAGGAAUAUUGGUCAAUGGACGAGAGUCUGAACCAGCCAAGUAGCGUGAAGGAUGACUGCCCUAUGGGUUGUAAACUUCUUUUAUAUGGGAAUAAAACGUUCCACGUGUGGGAUUUUGUAUGUACCUUAUGAAUAAGGAUCGGCUAACUCCGUGCCAGCAGCCGCGGUAAUACGGAGGAUCCGAGCGUUAUCCGGAUUUAUUGGGUUUAAAGGGAGCGUAGGUGGAUUGUUAAGUCAGUUGUGAAAGUUUGCGGCUCAACCGUAAAAUUGCAGUUGAAACUGGCAGUCUUGAGUAGAGUAGAGGUAGGCGGAAUGCGUGGUGUAGCGGUGAAAUGCUUAGAUAUCACGAAGAACUCCGAUUGCGAAGGCAGUUCACUGGACUGCAACUGACACUGAGGCACGAAAGUGUGGGUAUCAAACAGGAUUAGAUACCCCGGUAGUC